GACGAACGCUGGCGGCGUGCCUAAUACAUGCAAGUAGAACGCUGAAGGAGGAGCUUGCUUCUCUGGAUGAGUUGCGAACGGGUGAGUAACGCGUAGGUAACCUGCCUGGUAGCGGGGGAUAACUAUUGGAAACGAUAGCUAAUACCGCAUAAGAGUAGAUGUUGCAUGACAUUUGCUUAAAAGGUGCAAUUGCAUCACUACCAGAUGGACCUGCGUUGUAUUAGCUAGUUGGUGAGGUAACGGCUCACCAAGGCGACGAUACAUAGCCGACCUGAGAGGGUGAUCGGCCACACUGGGACUGAGACACGGCCCAGACUCCUACGGGAGGCAGCAGUAGGGAAUCUUCGGCAAUGGACGGAAGUUUGACCGAGCAACGCCGCGUGAGUGAAGAAGGUUUUCGGAUCGUAAAGCUCUGUUGUAAGAGAAGAACGAGUGUGAGAGUGGAAAGUUCACACUGUGACGGUAUCUUACCAGAAAGGGACGGCUAACUACGUG
Molecule: ribosomal RNA, 495 nt
Filed under: uncultured bacterium
Lineage: Bacteria
Description: partial 16S ribosomal RNA
Rfam family: Bacterial small subunit ribosomal RNA
Source: RNAcentral